This 372-nucleotide ribosomal RNA is filed under the name uncultured Bacillota bacterium. Its description in RNAcentral is "bacterial SSU rRNA". It matches the Rfam family "Bacterial small subunit ribosomal RNA", at positions 1008 to 1382 of the family's 1533-position model. The record is from RNAcentral. Lineage: Bacteria; Bacillati; Bacillota.
CAUCGCAGUCCUUGGACAAUGGAUACAGGUGGUGCAUGGUUGUCGUCAGCUCGUGCCGUGAGGUGUUGGGUUAAGCCCCGCAACGAGCGCAACCCCUAUUGAUAGUUGCUAAUAUUAAGUUAAGGACUCUAUUGAGACUGCCAGCGACAAGCUGGAGGAAGGUGGGGAUGACGUCAAAUCAUCAUGCCCUUUAUGACCUGGGCUACAAACGUACUACAAUGGCCAGAUACAAAGAGAUGCGAAGCCGCGAGGUGGAGCGAACCUCAUAAAAAUGGUCUCAGUUCGGAUUGGAGUCUGCAACUCGACUCCAUGAAGUCGGAAUCGCUAGUAAUCGCGGGUCAGCAGACCGCGGUGAAUACGUUCCCGGGCCUU